GGCCCUUUAGGGACAUCUGAUAAAAUUGGAACGAUACAGAGAAGAUUAACAUGGCUCAUGCACAAAGAUGACACUCACAAAUUGAGAAACGAUUCAAAUUUUU
This is a small nuclear RNA of Rhododendron vialii, 103 nucleotides long. The record is from RefSeq and is a predicted model, not a curated record. Lineage: Eukaryota; Viridiplantae; Streptophyta; Magnoliopsida; Ericales; Ericaceae.